UGCCAGACUCCUACGGGAGGCAGCAGUGGGGAAUAUUGGGCAAUGGGCGCAAGCCUGACCCAGCAACGCCGCGUGAAGGAAGAAGGCUUUCGGGUUGUAAACUUCUUUUAAGAGGGACGAGUAGAAGACGGUACCUCUUGAAUAAGCCACAGCUAACUCCGUGCCAGCAGCCGCGGUAAUACGGAGGAUGCGAGCGUUAUCCGGAUUUAUUGGGUUUAAAGGGUGCGCAGGCGGAUUUUUAAGUCAGCGGUCAAAUCGUGGGGCUCAACCCCAUCCAGCCGUUGAAACUGGGGAUCUAGAGUGUGCGAGAGGUAUGCGGAGUGCGUGGUGUAGCGGUGAAAUGCAUAGAUAUCACGCAGAACCCCGAUUGCGAAGGCAGCAUACCGGUGCACAACUGACGCUCAGGCACGAAAGCGUGGGUAUCGAACAGGAUUAGAUACCCUCGUA
This 447-nucleotide ribosomal RNA is filed under the name uncultured bacterium. Its description in RNAcentral is "partial 16S ribosomal RNA". It matches the Rfam family "Bacterial small subunit ribosomal RNA", at positions 329 to 792 of the family's 1533-position model. The record is from RNAcentral.